Brassica napus (rape) is the source of this 1449-nucleotide RNA transcript. It is a transcript of the gene named thylakoid membrane protein TERC, chloroplastic-like, with no coding region annotated. Lineage: Eukaryota; Viridiplantae; Streptophyta; Magnoliopsida; Brassicales; Brassicaceae. The transcript has 14 exons. The record is from RefSeq and is a predicted model, not a curated record.
GCGAUUGAUAGUGGUCACUCACUCGCAUAAUUUUUGAUUUUGGAUUUUACACAAACAACGCAAUGAGCUUAGCUUCAGUUAUCCACCACGGAGUUCUCGCUCCGGCGAAACCGGAUCGAAUCUUUGUUAGCGUUCCGGUGAUUCCGCCGAACUUCCGAGCUCGUGGAUGGACUGAGUCUCGUCUCUCUCUCGUUUCAGCUGCAAAUCGUCGUCUUUCUCCUAUUGCUUGCUCCCGAGGAACUGAUCAGGAAGAUGAUGUUUCUUCUUCUUCUUCUUCAGAGAAGGAGAGCAGAGAUCUUCUACCACACAAAGAUGACGAUGGAGGUCUGAGAGAGACUUUAAAAGACGAGACGUACAAAACUUCCUUCAAGACUGUUGCCUUGUGUGUAAGCGCUGCGGUGGCGUUUGGAAUCGGAAUAGGUUUGAAGGAUGGUGUUGGCAAGGCAUCUGAGUUUUUUGCUGGCUAUUUAUUGGAGCAAAGCUUGUCAGUGGACAACUUGUUUGUUUUUGUUCUCGUCUUCAAGUACUUCAAAGUGCCACUCAUGUAUCAGAAUCGGGUGCUUUCCUAUGGUGUAGCUGGUGCAAUUAUCUUUCGCUUCACCCUCAUAUUAAUAGGAACAGCUACUCUUCAGAAAUUUGAAGCAGUCAACCUCCUGCUUGCAGCAGUUCUCUUAUAUUCGUCUUUCAAGUUAUUUUCAAGUGAAGAAGAUGAUACAGAUCUAUCGGACAACUUCAUUGUGAAGACAUGCCAGAGAUUUAUUCCAGUCACAUCAACUUACGAUGGGAAUCGGUUCUUCACAAAGCAUGAUGGCAUCUGGAAAGCCACACCAUUGCUUCUCACAGUAGCAGUGAUAGAGCUCAGUGACAUAGCAUUUGCUGUUGACUCAAUACCAGCUGUUUUUGGUGUCACAAGGGAUCCUUUUAUUGUCUUGACCUCUAACCUGUUUGCAAUCUUAGGACUAAGGUCUCUCUAUACCCUGAUUUCUGAAGGAAUGGACGAUCUGGAAUACUUGCAGUAAUGUUCAUUAGGUACCCCAUGGGACAAGUAUGAUUUGUAUCUGAUCUUGUCUUUUGCCAUAACCAGCCAUCAAUAGCAGUGGUUCUUGGCUUUAUCGGAUUUAAGAUGAUCCUCGAUUUCUUUGGCUUCCAUGUGUCAACCGAGGCAUCACUUGGUAUUGUGGCGCUUUCUCUUAGCACCGGAGUACUGUUGAGCCUAACAAAUAAAUCCGGUGACAGCUAACUAAGAACGGGGAACAGAUUACAGAAGUAGUCAAUCAAACUUUUAUAAGAGCAAAAUCGCAUUGUUCAUUAUAUGAUUUCACAGAUGUGUAACUGUAGAUAUACAACAGAGAAGGGGGCAAUGCUUUGUAUGGCUUAUUAUACGUUAAAUGAUUUUACUUUUCGCUUAGUCGUUCAAAGCUGCAAAGAACAAGAUUUUUUUGUCUGUAA